RNAcentral lists this ribosomal RNA (709 nucleotides) under uncultured bacterium. RNAcentral's name for it is "bacterial SSU rRNA". It matches the Rfam family "Bacterial small subunit ribosomal RNA", at positions 62 to 780 of the family's 1533-position model. The record is from RNAcentral.
UCGAGCGAGAAAGUGACUUCGGUCGCGAGUAAAGCGGCGAACGGGUGAGUACAACGUGGAUAAUCUACCCUAGGGUCCGGGACACCCCGAGAAAUCGGAGCUAAUACCGGAUAAGACCACGGUAUCCAAGGAUACAGUGGUAAAAGAUUUAUCGCCUUUGGAUGAGUCCACGCCCCAUCAGGUAGUUGGUAAGGUAAAGGCUUACCAAGCCUAAGACGGGUAGCCGGCCUUAGCGGGUGAACGGCCACAUGGGGACUGAGACACGGCCCUGACUCCUACGGGAGGCAGCAGUGGGGAAUAUUGGGCAAUGGGCGAAAGCCUGACCCAGCGAUGCCGCGUGAGGGAUGAAGGCCUUCGGGUUGUAAACCUCUGUCAGGAGGGACGAUGGGACUAUGUCUUGACGGUACCUCCAGAGGAAGCCCCGGCUAACUCCGUGCCAGCAGCCGCGGUAAUACGGAGGGGGCAAGCGUUGCUCGGAAUUACUGGGCGUAAAGGGUCCGCAGGCUGUCGGGCAAGUUGGUUGUGAAAGCUCAAGGCUUAACCUUGGAAUUGCAUCCAAAACUGCCUGACUAGAGUCCAAGAGAGGUUGGCGGAAUUCCCGGUGUAGCGGUGAAAUGCAUAAAUAUCGGGAGGAACACCAGAGGCGAAGGCGGCCAACUGGCUUGGUACUGACGCUCAGGGACGAAAGCGUGGGUAGCAAACCGGAUUA